This 466-nucleotide ribosomal RNA is filed under the name uncultured bacterium. RNAcentral describes it as "partial 16S ribosomal RNA". It matches the Rfam family "Bacterial small subunit ribosomal RNA", at positions 28 to 507 of the family's 1533-position model. The record is from RNAcentral.
GACGAACGCUGGCGGCGCGCCUAACACAUGCAAGUCGAACGAGCGAGCGAGAGCUUGCUUUCUCGAGCGAGUGGCGAACGGGUGAGUAACGCGUGAGGAACCUGCCUCAAAGAGGGGGACAACAGUUGGAAACGACUGCUAAUACCGCAUAAGCCCACGGGUCGGCAUCGACCAGAGGGAAAAGGAGCAAUCCGCUUUGAGAUGGCCUCGCGUCCGAUUAGCUAGUUGGUGAGGUAAUGGCCCACCAAGGCGACGAUCGGUAGCCGGACUGAGAGGUUGAACGGCCACAUUGGGACUGAGCCACGGCCCAGACUCCUACGGGAGGCAGCAGUGGGGAAUAUUGCACAAUGGGGGAAACCCUGAUGCAGCGACGCCGCGUGGAGGAAGAAGGUCUUCGGAUUGUAAACUCCUGUUGUUGGGGAAGAUAAUGACGGUACCCAACAAGGAAGUGACGGCUAACUACGUG